UACGUAGGGUGCGAGCGUUGUCCGGAAUUAUUGGGCGUAAAGAGCUCGUAGGCGGCUUGUCGCGUCGGCUGUGAAAACCUGGGGCUCAACCCCGGGCCUGCAGCCGAUACGGGCAAGCUAGAGUUCGGUAGGGGAGACUGGAAUUCCUGGUGUAGCGGUGAAAUGCGCAGAUAUCAGGAAGAACACCCGUGGCGAAGGCGGCUCUCUGGGACGGUACUGACGCUGAGACGCGAAAGCGUGGGGAGCGAACAGG
This 253-nucleotide ribosomal RNA is filed under the name uncultured bacterium. Its description in RNAcentral is "partial 16S ribosomal RNA". It matches the Rfam family "Bacterial small subunit ribosomal RNA", at positions 524 to 776 of the family's 1533-position model. The record is from RNAcentral.